Nothobranchius furzeri (turquoise killifish) is the source of this 1426-nucleotide non-coding RNA. The record is from RefSeq and is a predicted model, not a curated record. NCBI's taxonomy places the organism in Eukaryota, Metazoa, Chordata, Actinopteri, Cyprinodontiformes, Nothobranchiidae.
AGUUGUUUAAACUACGCACGGUCAAGUAAACUGUCACAAAAUUUAUACAGAUGUAAUUUCCAAUUUUGAAACUGCAACCAAUCAAAGAUGAACGCAAGCCUCAGGACCUCUGAACACCAAAAUACCAGAGGUGUGACCACGUCGCUGCUUUGCAAGUCACAAAUAAGUCACAAGUCUUUCCAGUCAAGUCUCGAGUCAAGUCCAAGUCAAAGACAGCCAAGUCCAAGUCGAGUCCAAAGUCAAUGAUGUAAGUGCAACUGAAAGUGAUUAUAAACAAAGUGCUGCUGCGUUUAGCAGAACAAGAUCAAACCCAGAACGAAGAAUGAGUUAUGGUGUUUGUCCAUGUCGUGCCACUUUUGUGCUAAAAUAUCAAAUAUGCUCAAGUCAUCAUCAAGUCAACAGAUGCAAAUCGAUUCAAGUCGCAAGUCUUUAUAGAUUUUAUCAAGUCAAGUCAGAAGUCAUUAAAAUAAUGACUCGAGUCUGACUCCAGUCCAAGUCAUGUGAUUCGAGUCCACACCUCUGCCAAAUACUCACUAUAAUCCUACAAAUCUGUACUAGUCUCAUUUUCUUUCUUAUGUUUAUUAUUCAUAAUCUUGAUGCAUCCUAUUUUUCCACUUGCUUCACUUGUAUGUUUACAACAUUCCACCGAAGCAAAGUCCUAGUAAUGCAGACUCUCACGUACUUGGCAAUAAAACGCGAUUCUGAUUAUGCAAAUCUUAUCCUCCUCUCCUUGAUGACAUCAAGCUAGCGUAAUGGGUAGUAUAUGACUCAUUUAAAUGAAAGUGAACUGCACCAGAGAGCUAUCAUACUGUUUGGUUGGCAGCACAAAACGUGACAUAAAUGUUUUUGUUUAAAGGCUUUCCAUUGAAACAGUUUUAAAUGUAAUUUCCUGAGGGAGUGAAGUGUAAACCUUUCAAAUCCAGUUUGCCUCCACUGGGUCAGAGUGUGUGACCUUCUGGACUCUAUAUUUAGAUAAAACAGGAUUUGUGACCUGUUGUACUUUUACACUGUGUACAUUCUGGCCCAUUGACAGGUGUCCUUCAUUAACAGGAGCACCCUGAACAGAGCAAUAACCACCAACCUUUGUCCUCAUCAUGAGUACACAAAGAGCAAGUUAUGAAACCCAAAUCGUUUACAUCAUUGUCAUGCUGCAUUAUCUCCGACCUGCUGUCUGAAAAACAGGCUCUGAUCCUUCAUGAAGAAGACGUAUGCCAGUUUAAAAUAUUUACCAUUUUGCCUGACAAUUAUUUUACUGUACAAUCUUUGCUUAUAUAGUCCAACACAUUUAUAAAUUAACUCAAAUUGAAACAUUAAUAAAUAAAUAGAUGAACAAUCAAAUAAAUAAAUACAUAAACAAAUAAAUAAAUAAACCAUUCAAAUUCAUUGUUGUCAGUGGGUGCAUUUUGAUCUCAUUUUAGUGACCUCA